RNAcentral lists this long non-coding RNA (403 nucleotides) under Capra hircus (goat). RNAcentral describes it as "lncRNA (ENSCHIG00010031059.1)". The record is from RNAcentral. Lineage: Eukaryota; Metazoa; Chordata; Mammalia; Artiodactyla; Bovidae.
AUGCCUAAAAUGGCUCUCAAAAUCCAGUCCCCAAGUAAAUUCCUAAAUACAACAGGAUUUCAGAAAUCACGAAAAGGACUACGGAGAAAUGUGGGUUUCCAGCGUGGGAACACCACACGGGGGCACCCACACGGCCGACUCCAAAUACGACACCAGCAAAUUUCAGGCGGGGUGGGGGGGACAGAGGCGCCGCGAGACCCUGCAACAGGGCGAGCGCUAAACGACACCCCGGCCUCCCCGCCCGACCCCCCGCCAGGUCGGACGGGGUGGGGAGGGGGCAACUGACCGGCUCCGAUCCCACCUCCAGCUUCCCCUCCCGGGCAGCCCGGCCGCGGAGGCUCGGGAGGAAAGGGCCGCGCUGGGGGCCGAGCGGGCGCCGGCCAGGGACCGCCCCCCCCCCCGG